Long non-coding RNA from Mirounga angustirostris (Northern elephant seal), 231 nucleotides. RefSeq lists it as uncharacterized. NCBI's taxonomy places the organism in Eukaryota, Metazoa, Chordata, Mammalia, Carnivora, Phocidae. The transcript is spliced from 2 exons. The record is from RefSeq and is a predicted model, not a curated record.
GGGCUGCGCAGUCCCCGAGGUCUCCGGGUCACAGGCGGAUGCAGAUCCAGUAGGUGCGGGUGGGCCCGCUCGUACUUGGCGUGUCAAGGAAUCAGAGGCCCCCACUUGCAGCGCGGAGGAGGUAGAAGGAAAGGCAGCUCCGCCCAGGAGAGACAUCCCCUAAAGCGUCUCGCCGCGCAGCGUUAUUACUGGUCAGUCAAGGAUCAUGAACAAUUUGGUGAAAGAGCAACU